ACAGGGAUUGCCUCAGUAACGGCGAGUGAAGCGGCAACAGCUCAAAUUUGAAAUCUGGCCCUUUCAGGGUCCGAGUUGUAAUUUGUAGAGGAUGUUUCGGGCGUGGCUCCGGUCUAAGUUCCUUGGAACAGGACGUCAUAGAGGGUGAGAAUCCCGUAUGUGACUGGUAGCCUAUGCCCAUGUGAAACUCCUUCGACGAGUCGAGUUGUUUGGGAAUGCAGCUCAAAAUGGGUGGUAAAUUUCAUCUAAAGCUAAAUAUUGGCCAGAGACCGAUAGCGCACAAGUAGAGUGAUCGAAAGAUGAAAAGCACUUUGGAAAGAGAGUUAAACAGUACGUGAAAUUGUUGAAAGGGAAGCGCUUGCAACCAGACUUGCACGUGGCCGAUCAACCGGUGUUCUCACCGGUGCACUCGGUUGCGUUCAGGCCAGCAUCGGUUUCGACGGUUGGAUAAAGGCCCCGGGAAUGUAGCUUCUUUCGGGGAGUGUUAUAGCCCGGGGUGCAAUGCAGCCUGUUGGGACCGAGGACCGCGCUUCGGCUAGGAUGCUGGCGUAAUGGUUGUAAGCGACCCGUCUUGAAACACGGACCAAGGAGUCUAACAUCUAUGCGAGUGUUUGGGUGUCAAACCCAUACGCGUAAUGAAAGUGAACGGAGGUGAGAACCCUUAAGGGUGCAUCAUCGACCGAUCCUGAUGUCUUCGGAUGGAUUUGAGUAAGAGCAUAGCUGUUGGGACCCGAAAGAUGGUGAACUAUGCCUGAAUAGGGUGAAGCCAGAGGAAACUCUGGUGGAGGCUCGCAGCGGUUCUGACGUGCAAAUCGAUCGUCAAAUUUGGGUAUAGGGGCGAAAGACUAAUCGAACCAUCUAGUAGCUGGUCU
Molecule: ribosomal RNA, 872 nt
Filed under: Bulgaria inquinans
Lineage: Eukaryota; Fungi; Ascomycota; Leotiomycetes; Phacidiales; Phacidiaceae
Description: eukaryotic LSU rRNA
Rfam family: Eukaryotic large subunit ribosomal RNA
Source: RNAcentral